This 74-nucleotide transfer RNA is filed under the name Clostridiales bacterium. RNAcentral describes it as "tRNA-Pro". It matches the Rfam family "tRNA". Rfam says of the family: Transfer RNA (tRNA) molecules are approximately 80 nucleotides in length. Their secondary structure includes four short double-helical elements and three loops (D, anti-codon, and T loops). Further hydrogen bonds mediate the characteristic L-shaped molecular structure. tRNAs have two regions of fundamental functional importance: the anti-codon, which is responsible for specific mRNA codon recognition, and the 3' end, to which the tRNAs corresponding amino acid is attached (by aminoacyl-tRNA synthetases). tRNAs cope with the degeneracy of the genetic code in two manners: having more than one tRNA (with a specific anti-codon) for a particular amino acid; and 'wobble' base-pairing, i.e. permitting non-standard base-pairing at the 3rd anti-codon position. The record is from RNAcentral. Lineage: Bacteria; Bacillati; Bacillota; Clostridia; Eubacteriales.
CGGGGCGUAGCGCAGUCUGGUAGCGCACGUGCUUUGGGAGCAUGGGGUCGCAGGUUCGAAUCCUGUCGCCCCGA